This 301-nucleotide ribosomal RNA is filed under the name uncultured bacterium. Its description in RNAcentral is "partial 16S ribosomal RNA". It matches the Rfam family "Bacterial small subunit ribosomal RNA", at positions 509 to 808 of the family's 1533-position model. The record is from RNAcentral.
CAGCCGCCGCGGGAAUACGAAGGGUGCAAGCGUUACUCGGAAUUACUGGGCGUAAAGCGUGCGUAGGUGGUGGUUUAAGUCCGUUGUGAAAGCCCUGGGCUCAACCUGGGAAUUGCAGUGGAUACUGGGUCACUAGAGUGUGGUAGAGGAUAGUGGAAUUUCCGGUGUAGCAGUGAAAUACGUAGAGAUCGGAAGGAACAUCUGUGGCGAAGGCGACUAUCUGGGCCAACACUGACACUGAGGCACGAAAGCGUGGGGAGCAAACAGGAUUAGAUCCCGUGUAGUCCCUGUCUCUUAUACC